RNAcentral lists this ribosomal RNA (295 nucleotides) under Picochlorum sp. RCC944. RNAcentral describes it as "partial Bacterial large subunit ribosomal RNA". It matches the Rfam family "Bacterial large subunit ribosomal RNA", at positions 2575 to 2886 of the family's 2925-position model. The record is from RNAcentral. Lineage: Eukaryota; Viridiplantae; Chlorophyta; Trebouxiophyceae.
GGCUGUUCGCCGAUUAAAGCGGUACGUGAGUUGGGUUUAAUACGUCGUAAGACAGUAUGGAUCCUAUCUCUUUUGGGUGUAUAAAACUGCGGAGAUCGUGUUCUUGUACGAGAGGACCGAACAUGACAAACCUCUGAUGGACCAGUUGUUUCGCCAGAAGCACAGCUGGGUAGUUACGUUUGGGAGUAACAACUGCUGAAAGCAUCUCAAGCAGGCAAUCUCUAUCCAAAACAAGUUUUAUUUAUCGUAGAAGACUACUACGUAAUAGGUGGAAUGUCUAAACAUAGUAAUAUGU